UUCUUUCUCAAUUUUCAGCAAAAACAAACGCGGCAAACUUUCCUCCCCCUUUUCCCCCCGAAUCCCUCCCCCUUUUAUUUUCAUUUUGGCUUUCACCUUCUCCAAUUCAUUCAACCCUUCGACUCGUGCUUUGAGUUACGAGGUUCAAAUGAGCGACAACCUUAUCUUCCAGUGCUGCGGUUAUGGCUUGAAAUUGUAUGCUCCUCCAUCUCUAGUUUUAGUUAUUUCUACUUUAGGGUUUCAAUUCCUUGAAUGCUUCGAUUUAGGUUUUUAGUUAGGAGGUCCUAACCAGGGUCGACUCUUUCUCAAAGCAAAAACAUGGGCAUCAAAUAAACUAUUUUCUUGCAGGUUCUAAAUAAAGAUAGUGUGGUUCAUCCACAUCAGUAUUUAUAGCUCCAUUUCAGUUCUAAUCAAUGGUCCCAUGUCUUAUUCGGUUAGUAUUUCUAUUAUAACUUUUUUUUUUUAAAUAUUACGUUCCUUUCUAUUGAUUGUAGAUUCACAAGCAGAUCGUGACUAUAAUUUUUUUUAGGUAUAUUUAUGCCUUUUGGAAUUGGGAUAGAUGUAGAUUUUGGCAUCUGCUUUGUCUAUAUUUUUUGCGGUGUAAUGCUCUUAAAGAAUAGGUUAUUUCUGGCAUUGCGGAUGCAAGUCUCUCUUUGGCUGUGUUACUUUGAUUCCGACAUCUCACUGUAAGUUUGUUUCUGCUUUGUCUAUAUUCGUUUCUUUAGCAUCUAUGUUUGAAAAUUGACUUAAUACAUUUCAAUUGUACUGAUUUUAUCCUUAUUAGUGAUGGAAACUCAAAGUGGAAAUAGUUACACUUAAUGAUGUGAGUAUUACUAUCGUGAAUCUUGAGGAAGAUGUUAUAUCCGUAUCUCUAGUUUCAAUGGACAUUUUGGGUUCCAAGGGAUUGAAUGUAUUGUGAGAUUAGGUGUUAUCUGUUCUUUGAGAAAAUUCGAUGAAGUCUAAUAAUAAUUGUGAUUUCAAUUAGGACCUUAAGAGGAUUAGUUGCCUUGUUAAAAUUAAAACUAUAGUGACCUUUCUGUUCCGUAGUUUUAUUGUUUAAUCUUAGUGUCUUGCACAAAAUAAUUUUGAGGUUCAAAAAGUAAAUCCUUUUUCUAGAUAAAAGCAAUUGUAUUAUAAAGCUAGCACUAAGGAAGUGAUGUAAUAUUUUUUUUUUGGUCAAAGCGCUGUAGUAAUUAAAAGUGAGCAAAACACCAGAAGAAGAAACAAUUUCCAAUAUUACAGGGAUUUCAAGAAUAAAUAUUUGUGUCAUGCAUCCAUAAAGCCUUAUUUGUACUACCAAUUAUCAUUCAUUCACUACUUUUUUAUAAGCUGCUAGUGCCGGUUAGUAGUUCUACUUGUAUAUUUGUAUAUAAUUGCUCUUGAAUUAUCUGUACUACCAAUUAUACUUGCCUCCUUUUUUCCCAUGAUAUCGCAAGUACGGAGAGAAAAACAAUUGCUAAUACAGUGAAACAUGAGAUGGAGAAAAAGAGGUAAUUCUCUGCUUUAAUAGAAACCUUUAUUGUUUAAUAUACAGUAGGGAUUUAAACACAUGGAAAGAAAUAUUCAUGAUUUGACCAAUAAAAAAUGAAACCUUUGAUAUGCAAAGAGAAAGUGGUACCAAAUGCAACAACUCAUAGUACUAAAUAUCACUUAGUCAUUUGCAAUUCUCAUUGUAAUCACCCGGACUUAUUUUGAGAAAAAAAAUUUAACUUAGCAUAAAGAAAGAUAUUACUCUUUACAAAUUUCAUAUAUAGAGAACUUGGUUCUUUCUGUUGCAGCUUGAGUGGAUUGUUCUCUAAUCACAUAUAAGUAUUAAUUAAAUAUUUCAAAUCAUGUCCUACCUUUAUCCUUCUUUAUGUUAAGCAGCCUAGGAGGAAACCCAAGGAAGAAGGCUAUUGUUUCUGUUCUAACACUAUCCAUUACUGAUUGCAUCACUUUUUCCCUUAUGAUGGUCCAAUAUUUCUUGCACCCUAUAAUUAUGAUUAUGGCAUGACUGUCAUACAUGUUUCUAGUAGAGUUGUACCUGCUGUGUAAUUCCAAACGCACAACCAGUUAAGUUUAUUUGAGGAUUCUUGAUUUUGUCAAUGAAUUGGAAAAGCUAUGAAGGAGAUUAACAUUGAUGGAACCAUGUCAUAUAGUGAAUUGUAUGUUUCGUUUCCUCUACUUUGUUUUACAGCCUUCACAUUCUUGCUAUUAUUUAUACUUGUUGAUCUUAUAGUGUUAUAUUUUGGAAGAAGAGGACGAGGCAAGUCUACAAGUCAUGCUAAGUAACUUAAUCUUUCAUGAAAAAAGUAAAUAUCUUGGAUGUAUGUACAAAAGAGUCUAUUUACUUGAAUCAAUCUUUGUAUUGUAUUUGAUUUUGACUAUAAUAUUGUAUUUUUGGGAAUAUUUAGUAGGUUUUGGUGCAGCAACUUUGUUUGGGAAAGUAUUCAGCUUUGAUGUGGUUUUUUGAAAGAUUUAUGUAACGACCCGACCGGUCGUUUUGAGCUCUAGCGCGUCAUUCAGCAGUUUGAGACCAUGAGUAGCUUCACUUCAGGUAUUAUGACUUGUACGCAUGGUCGGAAUUAAAAUUUCGGAAGUUCAGAGUUGAUUUGGAAAGAAAAUUCUUAUUUCGGAAGCUUUAAGUUGGAAGAAUUGACUAAGGUUGGAUUUUUGAGCAAACGACCUCGGAAUCGGGAUUUGAAGAUUCCAACAGGUUCGUAUGAUAAUUUUGGACUUGGGCGUAUAUUCGGGUCAAAUUUUAGAUGAUCCGGGAACGUUUUGACACCUAUUAUAGAAGUUGGCAUUUUUAGAAAGAUUUCUUAAAUUUGAGUUGAAGUGCAUUUCAAUGUUAUCAAUGUCUGUUUGGGAUUCUGAGCCUAGGAAUAGCUCCGUAUGGUGAUUCUGGUAUUGGAAAUGCGUCCAGAAGUGGAUUCGGAGGUCCGUAGGUCAUUUUGGGAUCAUUUGGCGGAAGUUAGAGAUUGGAAGAUUUUUGAGAAGUUUGACCGGGAGUGGACUUUUUGAUAUCAGGGUCGGAUUCUGAUUCCGAAAGUUGGAAUAGGUCCAUAAUGUCGAAUGUGACUUGUGUGCAAAAUUUGAGGUCAAUCGGACGUGAUUUGAUAGGUUUCGGUAUCGAAGGUAGAAGUUUGAAGUUCUAAAGUUCAUUAAGCUCGAAUUGGGCGUGAUUCAUGAUUUUGAUGUUGCUUGAUGUGAUUUGAGGCCUCGAGCAGGUUCGUGUUAUGUUAUGGGACUGGUUUGUGUGAUUGGACGGGGUCCCGGGGGUCUCGGGUGUAUUUCGGGUGGUUUCGGACCAAGUUGGAGCUGUUUUGGACUGUUGUUUCUGGUGUCUGGUUUCCUUCUUCACGAACGCAAAGGAAAUCCCGCGUUCUCAAAGAAAAAAUUUUGGGGUGCUGGAUUUGGCCUUCGCGAACGCGACGCAGUGGUCACGAACGCGAAGAAGGAAGGGGAACCGGGACCCUGAGCCAUUAAGCCUUCGCGAAUGCGAAUCUUAGACUGCAAACGCGAAGAAGGAGGGCAGUUGGCUACCGCGAACGCGAGAGCUUGAACGCGAACACGAUGUUGUGCAUGGUCAGGCCUUUGUGAACGCGACACUGGUCACGCGAACGCGAAGAAGAACGAGUCUGGGCAGAUUGGAUUUAAUACAGGAUUUGGCUCAUUCUCUCUCAUUUUUCACUGGGAUGGACGAUUUUUGGAGAGCUUCAAGGAGAGAUUUUCAUCAUCUAUGUCAAGGUAAGUGAUUCCCACCUAUUGCAAGUUAAAUACUUGGUUUAUAUAUGGAUUUAAACAAGAAAAUUAGUAGAAAAUUUGAUUUUUUAAGAAAAACGUAGAAAUUCGUAUUCUUGGAUUUUUGACCACGAAUUUGGGCAUGGAAUUAGAAAUAAAUCAUACAUUUGAGUUCGUGAGGUUAUGAGUAUUGGUUAUCUUCAAAAAAAUUUAGAAUCCGGGGACGUGGGCCCGAGGGUGCUUUAUCGACUUUUCGAGCGGAGUUGAAAAUUGUUGUAAAUUGAUUACUUUUGAGUAUUAGAGCAUAUUUUGAUUGGGUUGCAUCUUAUUUGACUAGUUAUGGAGCGUUGGACAUUUAUUUGAGUUGAUUUUUAAUGGCUUGGGAGCCGGUUAUUCGGAGCGAGAUAAGUCUCCUUUCUAACCUUGUAAGAGAGAAUUUACCUCAUAGGUGAAAUAAAUCAAUAUGAGCUCCUAUUUGUGGGGGCUACGUACGCACGAGGUGACCAGAGUCCGUGCAUAGCUACUAUUAUGCUUAAGUCUGGGUAGUCUAGGAUCCCAAAGAAUGCUCUACUUGUAAUAUUUGCAACCUUGUUGUCAAUUUAAAAUGCUUAAAUCAUAUUGAACUUGGUAAAUAAAUUUUCUAAAAAGCUAAACAUCAUUUCUUGACUGUUAAAAGAGCAAUUGCCAUUUCCUUAGAUAAUUCCCCCUUGAUGAAUUAUCGAUUGACUGUUUGAAUGUGUUUAUCUUUGUGGAACGGGACGAACGCCUCGGUAGAUUAGAUAGAUGCAUCUAUGAUUCGCGCCAUUCGACCCUCUGGCAGUGCACAAUUUAAAUAUUUAUUGGAUCGGGUCGUACGACCCUGGCAUGAUUUGCGCAUGACCUAAUUGAUUGUUUUGGAAUUACUGAUAAUUGAUAUGGCCUCAUUGGCCAGAGAUAUAAAUUGUUAAAAGAUGAAAAUAAAUUUGGAAAUCCCCUAUUAACAAGAGAAUUAUUUACCUGCCUCAUGUUAUUGUGUUUACCGUUGUCUCAUAAAAUUCAUAAUUCAUCAUAUCAUUGGUAUAUUAAUUAUAUCCUAUAGUAAGUGUCUGAGUCGACCCCCCGUCACUACUUCUUCGAGGUUAGGCGGGAUACUACUGAGUACGCAUUAUUUUCGUACUCAUGCUACACUUGCUGCAUAUUUUUGUGCAGGUACACAUAUGUUUAGCGGCCUUGUGGGCGCAGAUGCGGGAUUAUGGCGAGGACUUAAGUGAUGCAUUCUAUACGACGCUCCGCAGCCAAUAGAGUCUCCUUCAGAGUACUUAUACUUUUCCUGUCCAAUUUGUAUUCCGGACAGCUGUUGUAUUUUAUUUUAUAUUCCUAGUUAAUGCUCAUGCACUUGUGACACCGGGUUUUGGGAUGAUUAUGGGUUGCACUGUAUUGAAAUUUUUAAAGAUAUUAUUAUGUAUUUUGUAAACUCCAUCUUCUACUAUUUAAUUGAGGGGAAAAACUGUAAUUUCA
RNAcentral lists this long non-coding RNA (5220 nucleotides) under Nicotiana tabacum (common tobacco). Its description in RNAcentral is "long non-coding RNA (NTAB_LNC009983)". Lineage: Eukaryota; Viridiplantae; Streptophyta; Magnoliopsida; Solanales; Solanaceae. The record is from RNAcentral.